UACGUAGGGGGCAAGCGUUGUCCGGAAUCAUUGGGCGUAAAGCGCGUGUAGGCGGCUCGAUAAGUCUGCUGUGAAAGUCCAGGGCUCAACCCUGGGAUGCCGGUGGAUACUGUCGAGCUCGAGUCCGGAAGAGGCGAGUGGAAUUCCUGGUGUAGCGGUGAAAUGCGCAGAUAUCAGGGGGAACACCAAUGGCGAAGGCAGCUCGCUGGGACGGUACUGACGCUGAGACGCGAAAGCGUGGGGAGCAAACAGG
This 253-nucleotide ribosomal RNA is filed under the name uncultured bacterium. RNAcentral describes it as "partial 16S ribosomal RNA". It matches the Rfam family "Bacterial small subunit ribosomal RNA", at positions 524 to 776 of the family's 1533-position model. The record is from RNAcentral.